CACCAAAAACAGAUAGGGAUACUUUUUCUGAGUAGGAUUGCUUACCUUGAAUGUUUGUUUAUUGUGAUUUUGAAGGUAAAAAAGAAGCGGUUCCACAUUUUGAUUUGCUACUGUAAGGUGUCUGGCACAAUGUCACCCAAGGAAUAAUGUCAGAUUGCCAUGACAGUUAAUUGAGAAUCGGACUUCAUGUAAAACCAAAUAACAAUGUUAUCUGAAGACAACAUUACAACUAACUAGAAUUAGCAGGGAGGAAAAUAUUGUGCAUUAUAUGUUAAAUGUUGAGAUGAUAAUUGCUUUCUUUUGAUUUAAUUCUCUUCCCUCAUCUCCACAAAGGAGCUGUAGUUAUGCUAUUUUGUGAAAGAGAUGCUAUUAAGGAUUUCUGGUGUAGUCAAUUUCUAUGAGAAUACGACCCUCA
Molecule: long non-coding RNA, 415 nt
Organism: Vigna radiata var. radiata (mung bean)
Lineage: Eukaryota; Viridiplantae; Streptophyta; Magnoliopsida; Fabales; Fabaceae
Exons: 2
Source: RefSeq, a predicted model, not a curated record